UACGCCACCGUCUUCUUCUUCCCCCGUCCCCACCGCACCCACCAUCUCCCGCCUCGCGACUGUCCUACGCGCUUCCAGAACCCAAUCCCUAGCCAACCUAACGCUAGAUCCCAGUCCCCCAGCCUACUCACGGGACAUGGGCGUGGACAAUCCGCCGCCGAUCACCGGCUCCGGCAGCGACGACGGCGCGUUCGCCUUCAUCUCCAAGGGCUGGCGCGAGGUGCGGGACUCGGCGACCGCCGACCUGCAGCUGAUGCGGACGCGGACCGACAGGGAGCUGGGGCGCCUCCUCGCGUCGGCGUCGGCUCUCGCGGGGCCCGGACCGGCGCCGCCGGUGGCCGCGGGGGCGCCCUUCGCGGAGCUGGAGUUCGUGCGGAAGCGGAUCCAACCCAAGAUUGCGGAGCUGAGGAAGCAGUACUCGUCGACAGUGCUCGACGGGUGGCCGCCAAAGUCCGGCGCCAGCCUCCGCGUCGACCUCUCUGGGAUUACGGCUAUCCGCAACGCCAUUGUGUCCAGCGGGAAGGCUGAUGGCGGUGACGAGGGGAACAAGGAGUGGGAGGUGGUGAAGAUGAUACGGAACGGGCUCAAGGAGUUCGAGCGCCGGAGCCUGUCAAGUGAGAUGUCUGCUGGGUUUCGUGUCCGCACCGACUUUGUGGAGAAAUUUAAACUGAGCUUGAAAUCUAUGAACAAAGAGUCUCAGGAACCGAAGCAGGAUGCCCCGCCACUGGAUCUAACUGAAAUACUGGCAUAUCUAGUCAGGCAGUCUGGACCAUUCUUGGAUCAACUUGGUGUACAAAGAGAUCUUUGUGAAAAACUAGUGGACACAUUGUACAGUAAACGGAAUGGCCGGCUCAUGCAUCCGCCUUUUUCAGGAGAUAGAUCCUUAAUUCGUAAUGAGGACAUAACUGAUGAGCUUGAUCUAAGAAUAGCUAGGGUGCUAGAAAGUACUGGCUAUCACAGAGAAGGUUUUUGGAACGAUCCUGCAAAGUACAAGAUCUCAGACAACAGACGACAUGUUGCAAUUGUCACCACAGCAAGUCUUCCAUGGAUGACUGGGACAGCUAUCAAUCCACUGUUCCGUGCUGCAUAUCUGGCAAGAAGUACAAUGCAAAAAGUGACACUAGUGGUUCCUUGGCUCUGUAAGUCAGACCAGCAACUAGUCUACCCGGAUAACAUCACCUUUAGUUCACCAGAAGAGCAAGAAACUUAUAUUAGGAACUGGCUACAGGAAAGACUUGGCUUUGCAGCAAAUUUUAAGAUAUCCUUCUAUCCUGGCAAGUUCUCAAAAGAGCGACGAAGCAUUAUUCCUGCAGGGGAUACCUCAGAAUUCAUUUCGUCAAGAGAAGCUGAUAUAGCAAUUUUGGAAGAACCAGAGCAUCUCAAUUGGUAUCAUCAUGGGAAACGUUGGACAGACAAGUUCAAUCAUGUCAUUGGCGUAGUUCAUACAAAUUAUCUAGAGUAUAUCAAAAGGGAGAAAAAUGGUGCUCUUCAAGCUUUCCUUGUUAAACAUAUCAACAAUUGGGUGACUAGGGCAUACUGCCACAAGGUUUUACGUCUUUCUGCAGCAACUCAAGAUCUACCCAGGUCCAUCAUUUGCAACGUUCAUGGUGUAAAUCCAAAGUUCCUCAAUAUUGGCGAAAAAGUAAUAGCGGACAGGGAGCGUGGACAUAACUCUUUUUCCAAGGGAGCGUAUUUUCUUGGGAAGAUGGUUUGGGCUAAAGGCUAUAAAGAACUGAUUGAUUUGUUAUACAAACACAAAAAUGACUUGGAGGGCUUCAAGUUAGAUGUUUAUGGAAAUGGCGAGGAUUCACAGGCUGUCCAGGCUGCUGCUAGGAAAUUGGAUUUGGGCAUCAAUUUCUACAAGGGGAAGGACCAUGCCGAUGAUUCACUCCAUGGGUACAAGGUUUUCAUCAAUCCCAGUGUUAGUGAUGUACUGUGCACAGCAACUGCUGAGGCUCUUGCAAUGGGGAAAUUUGUUAUCUGUCCCGAUCAUCCAUCAAAUGAAUUUUUCAAGUCAUUUCCCAACUGCUUGAUGUAUAAAACUCCAGAGGAAUUUGUUGCCCGAGUGAAGGAGGCCAUGUCUAGUGAACCUCAACCUUUGACCCCUGAGAAAAGAUACAGUUUGUCAUGGGAAGCAGCAACCGAGAGAUUUAUGGAGUACUCGGAGCUUGACAAAGUUCUGAAAGAUAGAAAUGGUCAGUGUGGAGAAGGUGUAAAGAGAAAAGGAGUGAGGAAGCUACGUUUACUCCCCAAAUUCUCAGACAUCUUGGAUGGGGGACUGGCAUUUGCUCAUUACUGCGCAACCGGCAAUGAGAUCCUCAGAAUGGCAACAGGAGCAACUCCUGGUACACGGGACUAUGAUAAGCAGCAGUGCAUGGAUUUGAAUCUCUUGCCUCCUCAAAUUCAACACCCUGUAUAUGGCUUGUGAUGUGAAUCUGGUUUUACUAAACUAAUGUAUAGUUGAAGGACUUUUCUCCCUAGGGUUCUUGAAGUGGCCAAGCCGUGCUAGAUUAUCAGCGGUUUCUGCAAUUUUCACUAUUGUCGUAACCAAGUCUGACAGAAGUGUCGCAGUAACAGCCACAUGCAUCACUUGCAACAGGGCUGCUUCCUCUGAUAAUUCAUUUCUGAGGUCUUUUGCAGCUUUGAUGGCUGCGGACAUGGUGAUGUUGGCUGGAGAUGGUAUGAUCAUUGUCCGAAUGGCUGUUGAUAGCUCCUUGAGCGCCUUAGCAGAGUGUGAGCUCAUUUCCCCGCAUGCUGUUCGGACCUUC
RNA transcript from Triticum aestivum (bread wheat), 2768 nucleotides. It is a transcript of the gene named digalactosyldiacylglycerol synthase 1, chloroplastic, with no coding region annotated. The record is from RefSeq and is a predicted model, not a curated record. NCBI's taxonomy places the organism in Eukaryota, Viridiplantae, Streptophyta, Magnoliopsida, Poales, Poaceae. The transcript is spliced from 8 exons.